AAAUUGUCUGUGCUUGUAUAUGUGAAUGGCCUCAUGAACGAAUCUCUCAUGGUAGCCGGUUGGUUUGCAGUGUUGGUGUAGGUGAGCUGUGGUUAGUUUAGUGUUAGUGUAGGUGAGUGCAGUAGUGGUGUUUUGUGUGGCGAGUUUAGUAGUGGUGUGGGUGACUUUAGUGUUGGUAGUAUCAUAGAGGCUAUGGCACGUUUCCGCUUACGGGAAUUUCCAUGCAGGGAGUAUAAAUAGCCUUCGAGCGUACACGGACGGUCCAGAUCACAGCCGCAUUUGUUCAUCUUCCAAGCUUCUCGACAAUUUCACAACAAGAUGUUUCCCAACAAUGGUCGGAAGAGGGCAUCUCCAGACGGUUCUGAGAAUGAAAAAAAAUACAUGGAGAUGCAGAAAAAAAACCAAGAAUUGGAAAGUGAAAUUGAAAAAAUAAAAAAAAUUCAAGUGGGAAAAUUGUUCAACGAAAUUCAAGCUGAAGUCAAAGACGUUGCAAGAAACAUCGCAGAAUCCGUGAAAAAUAAUGGAAUACGCAGCUUCAAAGCCGUUGGCAUUUUGAUUUCCCAAGCUAUUAAAGAUAUUUAUCAUGGAAAAGGGCUCUCGGUUCUCAUGACCCUUGCUGAUUUCACGAGCCGCAUGUUCUUCUAUUUUGUGUACAAUGUCAUCUCUUUCGUUAUAGCUCUCGGGAUUUCCGCAUUGUUUUUGGUGGUCGCUACCCCCGUGGUGUUGUUGGGCAGUGCAUUGAAAAGCAUCGCGAGUGCCAUUUGGAAUCGAAUCAAAUCACUGGGAAACGUCACAUACUCGUUUGUGGAGAUGUUUGUGAGCAAUGUGUGUGAAGGUCAGACCUUCGGCGAUGUUUCUCAAACACUGAAAAUGAUCAAUUCAGCUGCUUAAGCAUGAGUUGUUGAACACAACGUACCUGCAACAGCUACUACUGAACCUUCAUAUACAACAGCAUAUAACCCAUCGCUACAACGGUGAUUAAUUAUCCAUAUUUUUUUUAUUAACUACUAGACUUCAGAUUGCUUUGGUAAGAAAACAACUGCAGUACAGACUGCAGCAUAAAUAUAUCUUAUUCAGGCGCUAUUGCAUGACUGACCAAGUAUGAGCACAGUACGGCAUUCCAAUAUCUGAUGCGCAAUGAUGCUGUAAUUUGGUGAACGCUGGCCUAAUUUGUGAGAUGCGCUUUUGACCAAGAAAUAUUUACUUUUAAAUAACCGUUGUAAAAUAUAUCUAUCUAUCCUUAAACACAAUGCCUGAAACAUCGCAGCAUGGUUACUAUCUAGGUAGUUUCAUACUCAUUUUCAAUUUCAUAACUGACAGACCCUUUUCAUCAUUGGCGAUCUUUAAGCUUCUGUCAUGUAGUUCCGCCUUAUUGCUCAAAUCCCAUUAACUGCUCCGUUUUGAUUCCCCUUUACACUCGUACUUUACAUUUCCCCUUUUUCAGAAUCAACUUUACCACAACCACCACCAUUCCACAAUAUCUAAAAUAACAUGAUUGAUCCUCCUGUUAACACUUCCCACCUAACCUCAAACGAAGAGUGCUGCUGUGCUGUGUAACCGAUGCAUGUUUAGUUUUUAGAAAGAAAUGUUUAAUUUGCGCACCUACGCUGUGCCAUUUCUUUAUUGUUUAUCCGUUUUUAAUCUUCUGAGGGUUUAUUGCUUGGUAAGUGGCAUAUAGGAUUUGGUACUUAUAUAUUAGCAUGUGGCCGUAUAUAACAUUAAAUUAUUAUUCAGGGUUUGGAACAUAGUUAAGGCUACGAUUUUGCUACUUAAACAAAAAAAAGCAGAGGUGUAGGAAUACAAAUAGCGAUUCCAAUAAUAACUCGCUGAUAUGUCAUGGAAAAAAGGUGGGGGGGGGGGGGGGGAGUAAACCAUAUAAUUAAAAAAAACCUGCUAAAACAACCCGUUAAUCUUUUUAAAAGCAUACACUUGGUGCAUAAUACAAGUAGUAUAAGUUGUGGUAUUUUAAAUUGAUAAAAAAAAAACUAAUACAAUAUGGGGUACCCGGCGUGCAUAGGUAAAGCCUAUGAUGCACCUCAUGUCCUCUUCCUCCCCCCUCCACUUUGCCCCGACCACGGCCACUGCGGUGCUGGCUGGUACCGCUCCGUUUCGUGUGCUGGAAAUGCAAAUCUGACAUUGGUGUUGCAUAUAAAGGAAGCACUAACAAUUGUGUCUCGGGCCAUUUCCAUUAUUUUAGUUCAGACUUUACUCGUGGUUUCCAUGACCUCCCUGACCUCUGUGCCAAAGUUUUAGCAUUUGGUUCAUGAACAAAACUAUUACCGUUAUGCAUGAAAGCACCAGAAUGACAUCUGCGGUACUAUGGAUACAACAAUGUGUGUUUUCGCUUCUCUUUAGGUGCGAAAGGGUAAAAUGUAAAACGUGAAAUUUCAAACGCAUGCAAUUAAUCAAAAUGUUUUAGUCUGAAAGUUAUAACAUGGGACGUUUUCAAUCUACAUUUGACAAGAAACCAACUAAAUGGUGCUUGGUGUUAAUCAUGUUAUUGGGUUACUGAUUGGUAAAUUGGUUGAAUAAAUUAUCCAUCCAUCAA
This is a non-coding RNA of Petromyzon marinus (sea lamprey), 2548 nucleotides long. NCBI's taxonomy places the organism in Eukaryota, Metazoa, Chordata, Hyperoartia, Petromyzontiformes, Petromyzontidae. The record is from RefSeq and is a predicted model, not a curated record.